AGGGGCUCAUGAAGAACAGAAAUCUCCAGUAGAACAAAAGGGUAAAAGUCCCCUUGACUUUGAUCUUCAGUGUGAAUACAACCGCCGUGUGUU
This is a ribosomal RNA of Trichoderma atroviride IMI 206040, 93 nucleotides long. It matches the Rfam family "Eukaryotic large subunit ribosomal RNA", at positions 2668 to 2760 of the family's 3401-position model. Lineage: Eukaryota; Fungi; Ascomycota; Sordariomycetes; Hypocreales; Hypocreaceae. The record is from Rfam.